Long non-coding RNA from Monomorium pharaonis (pharaoh ant), 1888 nucleotides. RefSeq lists it as uncharacterized. The record is from RefSeq and is a predicted model, not a curated record. The transcript is spliced from 4 exons. Lineage: Eukaryota; Metazoa; Arthropoda; Insecta; Hymenoptera; Formicidae.
UCACAAAGUAAGUUUUUUAAUUCAUUGGCUGAUCUAUCGCAUUAUACUUAAAUGUAAUUUUUAUAAAACAAAUUACAUAAAAAGAACUCGCCUAUGUUCUGCUAAAUGUAUUGUACAAUUUACUGAUUUGAAAUUCGCGGUUUUGAACGCCAGUGAUGUCGCUAUGAGAUCUGUUCUUUUUCGCUGCACUGCUGCACUGGUGCAACAAGUUAGAAUGAGAAAAAAUAUAUUUGUCUUACUUUAACUUAUUGCACCAAUGCAUCAGUGCAGCUAAAAAGAGCAGGCCAAUGAUCUUGCUGUAUUUAGAGAGCCUUUAGAGCCGCCGCACAGACUUUUGCAUAACGCAUAGUGCAUGACACAUAAGAGAAUUAAUCAAUCAAUCUAUUUCCCUCCCUAGGAUAGAAAUAAAGACCUCUGAUUGGUUGAUUCUCUUAUGCAUUUCGUGUUAUGCAGAAGUCUGUGCGGGGGUCCUUAAUCGGAGUGACGCUAUAAGAGAGGUUCCGCCAUCGAAAUCGUGCGAGCGAGAAAGAAAUAUGUCCGUGCGAAAAAGAGAUAUGUCUAACACAGUAUUGCAAGUCUCUGUCUAAGGUCUAACACAGUAUUGCAAGCUGACAGAAAGUUAUGAAAACAAUAUUGACAUUGACAUUUGUGCAAAAUGGUUGGAUGUAAUAUAUCCUUUUGUAAUAAUUGUUCUGAAAAAGAAUAUGCAAUGAAAAUACUACCACGAGAUGUACAACACCGAGAACAAUGGAUAAAAAAUAUUACUAAUAAAUAUAAAUGGACACCCUCAAAUCAUUUAUACUUAUGCGAGGUGCAUUUUGAACUUGAAAUGUGGGAAUAGAGAAUGGAUAAUAAAAGGAAACUAAAACCAAACGCAACACCAACGAUUUUCGAAUAUUUUCUAAAGAAAAAAAAAGUUUGAUCUGAUCAGGAUCUUAAUACAAUUGAGGAAGAAUAUAAACCUAUCCAUGUAGAAAACUAUUAUAGCAAAUAAAAACCUGUGACGCUGAAAUUAAUGAACAAGGAAAAAAUGAAGAGCAGCUAGAAAGAAAUGUAAAACAAAUAGAAGAAAGAAAUGGCAAGCAGGUAGAAAAAAAAUAUAAUAAAGUACAACUUUGUUUAAUUGUUUUAUGCAAAAAAAAUAAGUUAUUAAGAAGUAAAAUACAAAUACUGGAAAACAAAAUUAAAAAUGGUAAAUUUAGAAAAGCUUUAAAGAAGGUUUUUUAACGAGGAUCAAAUAAAAGCUUUAUUUACAAAGCAACAAAGAACAAAACAUUGGAGCAAUAAAACUAUUCAACGUGCAUUAAGAUUGAGAUUUACUUAUGGUAACAAAGAACUUCUUCAACAGAAAAUGCCGCUUCCAAGUUUGCGCACUUUACAACGAAAAAUAGAAAAUUUAAAAUUUGAAAGUGGCAUUUCAAAUGACAUGUUUGAAUUCUUACGAUUAAAGGUUACUUUAUUUCAAAAUGAUCGAUAAAGUAUGUGGACUCGUUAUUGAUGAAAUGAGUAUCACAUCUAAACAUGUUUAUCAUUCUUCCACAAAAACAUUGCUUGGAAACAUAAGUCUUCCAGACCAAGAAGAUAUAGCAACGCAUGCCUUAGUAUUUAUGUUGACACGUACAGCUAGUCAAUGGAAGCAUAUUGUAAUUGAUAAAGCUAAAGAAAUUGGUCUUUAUGUUAAUUACAUAACUUCUGACAUGGGACCUGGGAAUUGUAGCAUAUGGAAAUAUUAUGGAAUUAAUGUGGGACGGUAUUCUGAGAUGAUAAAUUGUAUAUACUCCAUCCCUCUAAUCCUCAUAGAUCAUUGUAUUCCAUUGCAGAUGUACCACAUCUGCUAAGAAAUUUCAAAGAAUUAUUAUCUACAAAUAAAUAUUUUAUCUUACCAAAA